This is a long non-coding RNA of Mesocricetus auratus (golden hamster), 1657 nucleotides long. RefSeq lists it as uncharacterized. The transcript is spliced from 2 exons. NCBI's taxonomy places the organism in Eukaryota, Metazoa, Chordata, Mammalia, Rodentia, Cricetidae. The record is from RefSeq and is a predicted model, not a curated record.
AGAAGGAUGCUCCAUAGAAAGUCAUCACUGAAGAGAGGCUCACACUCAUUAUCUGUGUGCCUUACUCACCAGGUGGCGAAGCUGAGGAUGAUAGCUCUACUUCAAGUCAUUUAUUUCAAGGAAACAGACAUCUACAGCAAUCCUCGCUGUGUUAAAAGAAGACCUCCCUUUGCAGGUUCUAGGCACCUGGAAGAUGUUGAGUGCAGCCCUGACGGGAAGUGAGGUUCAGCUGCUGAGCUCACAGACUCAGCCCUUCCUGUCUGCCCCUCGCUUCUGCCUCAAAGCCUCCUAGACGGUUUCUUAUAGUAAGAGGACAUCAAGCUUGCUUUCACCCGGACUUCAGUUGGUCUGCUGUCAUAUGGUGCUGAGUAUUUUUAUGAAGGGUCUGCCAUUUGUUCUGCACGUGUAAGUGGAGUGGAUGUAAAGGGUGGCAAUGUGCUAGGCAUGAUCACGACGUUUUUGUAUCCACAUGGACCCGGAAGGGGGGGGGGUUCCAGCCUCAUGGCGGAUGUCCCCAAGGAAGCAGGAAAAAAGUUCUUACUGUUGAAGAAAAAAAAAUCAGUUCUGAAUCACACCCUCUUGAAAAUGGUGUGUGGAACAAAUUGGGGAGUAUACAGAAAUCACCCCAGCACCCCGAGACACAGUGCUGCCUGUGUAAAACCAUGUGUGCAAGGGAUUGAGUGGCAAGCCAACUGGCUGCUCCCCCACGGAACAACCUUUCCCCUACACUAACAAACGGUGGUUAUUCAGACUUCAGCAUUUGCCAGACAUUUUCCUGAGGCCAUUGAAACACACCCGUCACUCCCGGAAACCCAACUGACAAUGCCGACUUCCCAUGAUGAACUUCAAGCUCUCGUGCGAAAAUCAGAAUAUAGACCAGCUACAUGUAACGAUGUCUUGGUUCGUAAAGGGUUUGUAGUAAUAUUAAUGCUUGCCAGCUAUUUUUUUUUUGUCAGAGAGUAACAGAUUCCAUCAACAUUAGCAAACUGUAUAAAUUAGUGAGUUUCCGAUUGGCUGGUGUAUGGCAUUCGGAGAAUCGAAGGUGAGGAUCCAGUGUGGUCAGAGACGGACUCCUGGGUCUUGAAGUAAAAGAAAUGGGAAGUUUAUUGAUAUGGCUGCAGAGUUCACUUUACAACACGUCUUUAAAGAUCUGUGAUCCGCUGAGUAUUAGAGAAGAACACACAAAAUUAUUUGAAAAGCUCCUCUCUUUCCCAGCUACGUAUUCGUGGGGAUGUUCUUUAUAAAGCCCAAACAAAGGGGCUGGAGAGAUGGCUCAGAGGUUAAGAGCACUGACUGCUCUUCCAGAGGUCGUGAGUUCAAUUCCCAGCAACCACAUGGUGGCUCACAACCAUCUACAAUUCAAUCUGGUGCCCUCUUCUGGUACGUAGGCAGAACACUGUGUAUGUAAUAAAUAAAUAAAUCUUUAAAAAAAAUAAAGCCCAACCAAAAUAACCCAUCAAACUGGAUCAAACUGGAGCCUACUGGCAUCAACAAACCCAGUCCUGGAAUAGGUUUUACAAAAACUGCACAAUAGGCACUAAUCUCACUCUGUCUUUCUUUUGUAAUUAUAACUAUUUUACAUAAAAAUGCAGUAUUAGUGUCAAUGUGUGAUAGAUUUCCUAAUGGUCAUUCUGCAUAAAUUAAUACGUGAAACUUA